CUAUAAAUGAGAUUCACAGACAAGAGGCGUUUGUUUCCCCGAUCGUUUGUUUAAAUAACUCAACACAAAUAUCCAUUAUAAGAUUAACUGGAACCUGUGCUUGUCUUUUCGGAGUUAUAAAGCUCCACAACAGAUUGCGGCCAUAACGUAAACAAGC
Molecule: long non-coding RNA, 157 nt
Organism: Etheostoma spectabile (orangethroat darter)
Lineage: Eukaryota; Metazoa; Chordata; Actinopteri; Perciformes; Percidae
Exons: 4
Source: RefSeq, a predicted model, not a curated record